GUGAUCUGUGAUGGUUCUUUCUUUGCAAGGUGUACAUGCCACAACAGAUCACUAUCCAAUCCAAAUCCACUUCCCGGUGUCUCCUUCCUAGAAAUAGCCCUCCCUCAAGUCCUCAUCUUUCAGUCUCAUCUUGUGUCUAUGAUUGUGCAUGCGUUCCUUUCUCAGUUGACAGCCACUGCGAAGUUCUCUUCAAAGGAGACUUCAUUCCCAAAAUGCACUAUUGAUCCUUGUUAAUUUCUUUCUGUUUCACCCUUUAUUGAUACGAUGACCAAUUGAUCUUUCCAUUAUUUGGUGAUUUCGCAGUGGUUUCUUUCCCUCCGGAGCGAAACUGUUUGUCAGUUUAAUUCGAAACAAUUUGGUGAUUGAUUCGUCAUUGAUUGAUCUUUCCAUAUAAUUGUAUUAUGUUCUGGUAUUCACUAUUCCGUGAAUUGGCAGUGGCUUCUUUCUUCUUGGAGCAAUCAUGUUUGUCUGAGGACAAUGAACACAAUGCAGUUGGUCAGUUGGUUACAUAGAAUGAGACCUUUGGGCCUUAUGGAAGACCAAUGAGCUAACCUUACACUAUUUGGUUGAGCUGAUGAUCCUAAAGUCUUUGUAUUUAGGACUAGAAGUCUUUGUCUCUAGGACGAGCAAUGGACUGAAAUUUUGACAACCUUCUACUUUUACAGGUUGAAAGUUUUACUGGAUUUGACAGCUGGUGAUCUGGUGCGUUCCCUGAGGGGCUUAGUUGAAAAUUGUUUGGAAUUGGAAGAGCUCUCGCUUCUUGGAUUUUAGGCAGUUAUUGGUUUCAAUGGAACUUGUCCCUCACUUCUGUUAUUUUCUACUGAAUCCCAAAGGUCAGAUCUAGUUCUCUUGCUUUUGCUGAACAGAGUUUGGUUGAGGCAAUACUUUACAUGGCCAAGUUCGAUGUGGAGUGUCUGUGAUCAGUGAUGUUCUUCCCUGUUGCACAGAGAUUCUUAGGGUUUUUCUUGGCCUAUGAUGCCUAUUGGUUAUUGGAAUUCUUUGGUUUACACCUCGUCCUUUGAUCGCUUAGUGAUUCUUUGACCAAUCUAUUGAACUCUGUGUUGUCAUAUUCUGGAUUCUUGUUGUUUGGUGAAUUGGCAGUGUGGCGUCUUUCCUCCUGAAUCAUAAUCUCUUGACAUCUGAGGAUGUCGUUAUAGGAAGUGUUUGAUUUAGCUCCUCCUUUGAACCUUUAUGGAUACAAUGACUGAUUGACCUUUCCAUUAUCUGGCAAAUUCACAGCGGUUUCUUUUCCCUCAGAGUGAAACUGUUUGUGUGAGGAUGUCAAGGACGAUGAAUACUAUGAAGGCUGUGUCUUGGAUGUUUGGCUUUUCGGAGGACCAGUGAUCCUUUUGCUGUUUUUCAUUUUUUCGGUUGAGAUGAUGAGUUAGUAGUCUUUGAUCAUGUCUGUUGAGAAAUAUUGUGAGUAAUAAGGGUAAAAUAGUAACUUAGUUAUAACUUAGUUAUGAGUAGGGUAAAAUAGUAAUCAGGGUAUAUAUAUAUAUAUACAUUUGUAACCCUUUUUCAUUUUGAUUAUUAGAAAACAAUUAUCCUUCACAUGGUAUCAGAGCCACACUUUAAAAAAUAAAAAAAAUAAAAGCCCUAGCCCCAGAUUACCGGAGACCACUGUUCCGUCACCGGAAAAGGCCGUGCCUCCGGCCGGCAACCUACGAUGUUGAUCAGUGACCCCAGCUGUCAUCGUUCGAGUCCCACCUUGGGAACGCAUUGAUCAGCCUUGUGGUUGCUGCUCGUUUCCCUAUCAUCGCAAAUCCUUCUGUCAAACCUUGCUGAUUAGUUCCAUAUGAGAGUCCUCCGACUAAAAUCUUAGAAGACAACAUGCAUCUUAUGGUCUGGCCAUGAUGAUGACCUUUGUGAACGUCUUCCCCUGCUAAAACCCUAUUUCUCAACAAUGUUUAAGACCUGGCGAUAGACUGAAAUUUACUGGGUUUGAUGGGAAUUUGUUCUUCAGAUUUUUUAUCCUGGGGAGUUUAUUAUCAUCCUGUCCUGAUUCACUCAGAGGUUGGAGUCUUACCAGACUUGACAAGUGGUGAUUUGCCAUGAUCCGAUGAUUGUCUGAAAUUGGAUAAGUUCUUUGGUUUCAUGAGGCAGUUCUUGGUUUGAAUGAAACAUGUCCUUUACUUCUAUUAUCUUCUUGUUAAUCCAAAAGAUCAGAUCUAUUUUUCUUCCCUUCUUAGAUCAGAGUUCAGUCAUGGCAAUACUUUACAUGGCCAAGUUUGAUAUGGAGUGUCUGGGAUCAGUGAUGUCCUUUCUUGCUGUAUAUACAUACACAUCAAUUCCUAAUUUGUCUUCCACUUCUGUUAUCUUCUAGUUAAGGUGGAACGAUCAGAUAUGUUCUCUUUCCUUACGCGGGUCAGAGUUUGGUGGAGGCAAUAGUUUACCUUUUCAAUUUCGAUAUGGAGUGUCUGUGAUCGGUAUUGGUUUGUUCUUGCUGCAUAAGCAUCGAUUCAUAGGGCAAGCUCUUCUUUCAGAGUUCUUUCUUGUCUGGAAAGGUCCACACAAGUUCAAGCUUGUUUCUCUCCCCAUUAUUCUGUAAGACUCCUGAUGUGGACUUUCAACUGCAUAACUCACGACUUGAUCUGGUUCUCAUUUUCCAGUGUUCUUUCCCCUUAUGAACAAAAAUUUUAGUGGGGGUGAAUAAAAAUGAAAUUUUGAAGUUCCCUUGCCAUUGAUCAACGGCUCUCUGCUACCUUUCACCGGCUUUAAGAAUGGCAAAUUCAAUCUGGUGAAGAUGGUUGGUGAGACUGAGGUUUUAUCUGGUUCUGAUCACGAUCCACUGUCAUUAAGUUGGGCAAUGUGGAAACAAAUUGCUUUUUAUAUGGAAAUGGUAUCUUUUUGGAUUUUAACAGCUAUGGAAUUUGUUUGAGACAGAGAAAAUGUGCUAAUUGCAGGAGUCUUUCAAUUAUUUCAUAGUUAUUAUAAGGAUAUUACUCGACUUGUGGCUGGAUAUUUAGCAUUUGGUGCACUCCCUUGCUGGUAAUUUCACUUGAGUUCUGAAGCAGUCUCUGAUCACAUCUUCACGGCGGGGAUGGACUGAAAUUUUGAAGAUUUCUAGGCAUUUGUAGUUUUAAUUUAAGUUUGUCUUGAGUUGAUUAUCUUCGGGGAGCAGUGAUAAAAUUUUUUUUGGAGUUCUGGUUAAAGUUUUGCUAGGUUUGAGAAGUGGUGAUCUAUUGCGUUCUUUUGUAGGGCUUAGUUGAUUGUUUGAAAUUGGACAAAUAGCUGCUUUGUGGAUUCUAGCCAGUUAUUGGUUUGAAUGAAGUUUGUUUGCCGCUUCUGCUUUUUUCCAUUUAUGGUGAACAAUCAGGGCCUAGGUCUCUUUCCUUUGAUGCAAGCCUCUUCUGGUCUGAUGUGGGCUGUCUUCAGUCAAUAAUGGUUCUUUCUACAUUUAAUUUAAUAGGCUUUUCUUUCUUUGACCUUCUAUUGGCUUUUUUUGUUUUUGGAAAAUGGAUAUUCAUUGACUAUCUUCCAUUCUAGGGAUUGUUUAUAAGUCUGGAAAGCUUGAGAUCCACAAAGUUCUGGCUUGUUUCUAUUUGUCCUUGCAAUGCAUGCUGCAAUCACUAAAUUGAUUGCUGGUAAAUCAUGGAGAUAUUGCAAGUGCAAUUUAAUUCUCUUGCCUUUUUUAUUCCUUUGGAGUUCAGAGUUUAGCCUAUUUGUGGUCUGUGAUGGUUCUUUCUUUGCAAGGUUUACAUGCCACGACAGAUCACUAUCCGAUCCAGAUCCACUUGCCAGUGUCUCCUUCCUAGAAAUAGCCCUCCCUUGUGUCCUCAUCCUUCAAUCUCAUCUUGGGUCUAUGAUUGUGCAUACGUUCCUUUCUCAGUUGACAGCCUCUGCAAAGUACUCUUCAGAGGAGACAUCAUUCCCUAAAUGCUCUUGAUCCUUCUUCUUUUCUUUUUGUUUCUUGAUUAAUUGUUAAAUCGGUCUGAUUUGUAUGCUAAUUUUCCAAAGGUUACUCUCGCCUCUCUGGGAGUCUGCCAUGUUAUGGGUAUCAUUAGGGUUUGCUCUCGUCUAAUUGGUGAUUGAUUCAUCAUUGAUUGAUCUUUCCAUUUAAUUGCAUUAUGAGCUGAUCCUUAUAUUCAUUAUUCCGUGAAUUGGCCGUGGCUUCUUUCUUCUUUGAGCGAUUAUGUUUGUCUGAGGACCAUGAGCACAAUGCUACUGGAUAGUUGGUUACAUAGAACAAGACAUUUGGGCUUUUUGGAGGACUAAUGAUCUAAUCUUGCACUGUUUAGUUGAGCUGAUGAUGUGGUAGUCUUAGUCUUUAGGACAAGCGAUGGACUCAAAUUUUGACAAUCUUCUAUGUUUCUUUUACAGGAUUUGACAAUUGGUGAUCUGUUGUGUUCUCUGUAGGGCUAAGUUGAUAAUUUUUUGGAAUCAGACGAGCUCCUCCUUCUUGGACUUUAGCCAGUUAUUGGUUUGAAUGGAACUUGUCCUUCACUUCUAUUACUUUUAGUUUAUCCCAAAGAUCAGAUCUAGUUCUCUUCCUUCCAUAGAUCAGAGUUUGGUUGAGGCAGUACUUUACGUGGCCAAGUUCAAUAUGGAGUCUCUGUGAUCAAUGAUGUGUUCUUCCUUUUUGCAUAAGCAUCAAUUCCUAAUUUUUCUUCCACUUCCAUUAUCUCCUAGUUAAGGAGGAAUAUAAGAUGUUCUCUUUCCUUUGCAGGUCAGAGUUUGGUCAGGGCAAUAGUUUGCCUCAUCAAGUUUAUGGAGUGUCUUGGAUCAGUAAUUGUUCUUUCUUUUUGCAUAAGCAUCAUCAAUUCAUAGGACAAGCUGUUCUUUCAAAGUUCUUUCUUGUCUGGAAAGGUCCACACAAGUUAAGCCCGUUUCCCUUCCCUUAUCUGUGUGCUGAGAUCACUAAUUGGGUCUCCGGUAAAUCGUGGAGAUAGCAUAUGUAAGAUGUAUAUGUCAUGCUCUUCUUCCCUAUCAUGGGACUGGCUCCAGGGAUUGCCUACUUAGCUUCACCUUUCUUUUUACACGGCUUCUGUGUUUUCUUUUGGUUUAGAACAAGAGGUCAUAAUGUGCUCUUUAUGUGCAAGAGGUUGUUUGAGUUGGUUGGACUUUGUCAAUGGCCACUGGUUAUCGGGACUGAAUGCUUAUUGCUGAAGGAAUUGCUUUUACUUGGUGCAUACUGGUAUCUUCUUAUUUGGAAUGGCAUACUUCAGAUAUCUAUUACGAUUCACUUUCUUAAUCUUUGUUAUUUUGUUUCUAGAUUUCAAUGGUUGCUGAACCAAUUACUUUCUCGGUCUUAUUUCUGAAGCAUCUGGCUUGUUGCAUAAGCUUAAUUUCUCGUGCUCCCAUUGCCUAUUUGGGACUUUGCCAUGGUCAUGGACAUCAUUAGGGUUUACUCUCCUCAUUUGACCAUUUAUUAAUUGAUUGGUUGGUCGGACAUCAUUAUGCUUUAUUCUAUUUGGUUGUUUUACGAGCAGAUUCUGGAUCUUUUAUUUAGUUGAUUGGAAGCAACUUCUUCUCUGAUGGACCAAUCUCUACUUCCAAGGAUGUCAUGUAAGGAACAGUAAAUAUGAUUAGUUUGGUCAAUUGUUCCAUAGUAUAAAGCAUUCGAGCUUUUCUUGGGAUUGACGAUUCUUUGGCAGUAUAAUGUUGGGUUGGUGGAUGAGGAGUACUGGGUGUUGAACUGAAACUUCUAAUAAUUUCUUGCAUGGACACUUAUGUUUCUUUUUUUUUAAAUUCAUUCUUUCAUUAUUGAUCUUUGGUUAGUAGCAAGAAUCGAGAUGAUAAUUGUCUAUCCCUAAUUGCUUUAGGUUGAAGGUUUGCUGAAUUUGAGAAGUGCCAAUCCUUUGCCUUUUUUGCAACGCUGAGAGGAUGAAUUGUGGAGACCAGGUUUUGUUUGAAAUGGGAUAAUCUUUUAUUUAUUGCAUUCUGGACAGUAAAUGGUUCCAUUAGUGUUGACCCAAUCAUCAUCAUCAUCAUCAUAAUAAUAUUAAAGCAAGAGGAUCACCAUUAAGUUCUCUUUCUUUUAUGGUCAGAAAUUGGUUAAAGCAAAGACCUUUUCCUUAAUGAAAUAAUUAUGCAUGUUAUUUAUCAUUGACUUUUUCCUUUUCAACGUACUUUGUUGAACACUCACUUGGAAAUACGUUUCUUGCAUAUGCAUUUCUGUUGACUUGGUGUGUAUGUAUGCUUGAAGUUUGUGUCUAUGUUAAAUUGGUAUAUUUGAAGAAUUUCUCUCACGUUUACUUUGUGUUUAUAUCAGAUAGAUUGAUGUCAUCUAGAUGGUAAUUUCUUAUGCUGAGUUAUUAUUUUGGUGUUACUUAUUGCUCUUUUUUCUCUAUGUUAUUUGGUACUUGCAGGAUAGGUUAUUUUCCAAAAAAAAAAAAAUUGUUUUUCACACUUCUUUUUUGUGGUAACAUUUUCCUUUUGCCAAAACUUUUCCAAAUGUUAUAACAUGUAGUGUUUUCACUUAUAAAGCGAUGUUGUGGAUGGCUCAUCAAUAGAUUUAUCUUUCCAUUAAAUUGUUUAACAAGAUUUUUUUGGAUUUCACGGUGGAUUGGCAGUUGCAUCUUUCCUCAUGGAGCGCGAUCUCUUUGUUGGAGCAUGUCGUCUAACGUUGAUAAAUACAUAGAAGCUGGUCAGUUUACAUAAUAUAAGGUGUUUGGGCUUCUUGGAGGAGUGGUGAUCUAUUAUGCAGUCUUUGUUUUGAACUCUGAAGUAUCUUUGUUCAAAUCUUCAGCAUGGACAAUGGACUGAAAUUUUGAAGAUUUCUAGGCUUUUUGUUGUUUUAAUUUUAGUUUGUCUUCAGUUGAUUAUAUUCAGGGAGCAGUGAGAUAAUUAUUGUCGAGUUCUAAUUCUUCUAGAGGUUGAAGUUUUACCAGGUUUGAGGAGUGAUGAUCUAUUGCGUUCUUCUGUGGGGCUGAUUGACGAUUGUUUGAGAUUGGACAAGCAGCAGCUUGGUGGAUUAUAGGCAGUAUUGAAAUUUUGAAGAUUUGUAGGCUUUUUGUAGUUCUCAUUUAAGUUUGUCUUUAGUUGAUUCACUUCAGGGAGCAGUCAGAUUAUUAUUGGCAAGUUCUAAUUAUUCUACAGGUUGAAGUUUUGCCGGGUUUGAGAAGUGGUGAUCUAUUGCGUUUUUCUGUGGGGCUGACUUGAUGAUUGUUUGAAAUUGGACUAGCAGUCACAUAGUGGAUUCGAGGCUGAUCUGAAUGAAGUUUGUUCUCUGCUUCUGCUUUUUUCUUGGUUUUGGUGAGAUGAUUAGGGCCUAGUUCUCUCUUGUUUGAUGCAAACCUCUUGUGGUUCGAUGUGGGCUUUCUNNNNNNNNNNNNNNNNNNNNNNNNNNNNNNNNNNNNNNNNNNNNNNNNNNNNNNNNNNNNNNNNNNNNNNNNNNNNNNNNNNNNNNNNNNNNNNNNNNNNGUCUGUGAUGGUUCUUUCUAGCUCCUAAUCUUUAUCUCAUUUAACAAGAUCUUCUUCCUUUAGAGAUUCUAUUGGCUUUUCUUUUUUGCUUUCUUUUCUUCUUCUUUUUUUUGGUGAAAUUGUAGUUUUUCUUGUACUUGGAAGAUGAUAAUCAUUGACUACCCUCCAUUUUAGGGAUCAUUUGUGAGUCUGCAAAGCUUGAGGUCUACUAAGUGCUGGCUUGUUUCUCCUCAUUCUUGUAAUGCAUACAUGCUGCAAUCACAAAAUUGAUUGCUGGUAAAUCAUACAGAUAUUGCAUGUUAUCUGUCUUGCUCCCCCCCGCCCCCCCCCCCCCCCCCAAAAAAAAAAACAACCGGCAUGAAUGCUAGCUUCACACAAUUCCCGGGGCUUUCAUUCUAUACAAUUGAUGUGUUUUCUUUUGGUACAGAACCUUUGGUGGAAAUUUUCAUUUACGCUCCUUUGAUUUGAUUGAUGGAUUGAUCCAUCCUUCUGUUGUUUCAUGAGCUGUUUCUGGAUUUUUAUAAUCCAGUGGAUUGGCAGUAGGUUUUUUUUUUUUUUUCCUUCACAUAGCAAUCUCUUUGAUUAAGGAUGUUGUCUAACGAAUGGUACAUAUGAUGAGGUUGGUCAAUUUUUACUCAGAAUAGCUGAGCUUUUCUUGAGUUUGACGAUCUCUUCACAUCUAUCUUUGGUUGGGUAUGGCCAGUGUUCUUGAUUAUCUUCAGGACUGGGUGAAAAACUGCAAUUUUGAUAAACUCCUGCUGCGUAGGCACUUGGUGAAGAACUAAAUUUUGAUGAUCUAUUGCCUUUUCUGUGUUGGCUGAGCUGAUGAAUAUCAGUGUCUGGGCUUUGUUCGACAUUGGACAAGCUCCCACUCCUUGGAUUUUGGUUCUUUUGAUGUGUUCACUCUCAAUGUGUAUUUAUAUGGAUCAGUCCCUAAUCAAUUGAUAUUUUGGCCAUGCUUUAAUGAUAAUGUGUGCGAGAACUAGUGAGGUUUGAUGUCCUCUCUCAUUCCUUUGAUGCAAACCUCUUCCGGUUGAAUGUGUACUGUCUUCGAUCUAUGAUGGUUCUUCCUAGCUCCGUAAUCUUUAUUUCAUUUGACAAGAUCUUCUUUCUUUUGAGAUUCUAUUCGCUUUUCUUGUAUUUGGAAGAUGAAUAAUCAUUGACUAUACUCCAUUCUUUCAAUGCAUGCUGCAAUCCCAAAAUCGAUUGCUGUUAAAUCAUGCAGAUAUUGCACGAUACUCGUCUUGCUUCUCCCCCCCCCCCCCCCCCAAAAAUACUAGGUUCACAGAAUACCCAGGGAUUACAUUCAUACGAUUGAUGUGUUUUCUUUUAAUACAAAACCUUUGGUGGAACUUUUUCAGUUAUCAGGGGAUUCUUAUGCUUUAGGUGGUUGGGGAGGAGUUGUCGUGAACAUUGUUAGUGUUUAUGCUCCUCCUUUGAUUUGAUUGAUGGAUUGAUCCAUCCUUCUGUUGUUUAAUGGGCUUUUUCUAGAUUUUUAUAAUCCAAUGGAUUGGGAGUAGAUUUUUUUCUCAUGGAGCGAUCUCUUUGAUUGAGGAUGUUGUCUAAGGAAUGGUACAUAUGAUGAGAUUGGUCAAUUAUGACUUAGAAUAACUGAGCUUUUCUUGAGUUCGACAUUCUCUUCACGUUUAUCUUUGGUUGGGUUGGUGGAUGGGCAGUGUCCUUGAUUAUCUUCAGGACCAGGUGAAGAACUAAAAUUUCGAUGAACUCCUAUGGCGUAGGUGUUUUACCAGAUUCUAGAAGUGAUGAUCUAUCGCCUUUUCUCUGUGGCUGAGUUGAUGAAUUGUGGUGUCUGGGCUUUGUUCCAAAUUGGAUAGGCUCCCACUUCUUGGAUUUUGGUUCUUUUGAUGUCCUCACUCUCCAUGUGUAUUUAUAUGGAUCAAUCCCAAAUCAAUUGAUAUUUUGGCGAUGCUUUAACAGAAACUCCAUGUUGCUGAGAUCCUUGAGGGUUUCACCUGGCCUCUUUGGGACAAUGCCUGUGGUCAUUGGAAUUAUCUUAUUGAUCGACUGAUUGGUCUUCGCAAUAUUGUUUUUACCAGCUUAUUCUGGAUUCUCGUUAUUCGGUGCUUUAGUGUGGCUUAUUUCCUCUUGGACCACAUCUCUUUCGUCUGAGGAUGGUCAUUAUGGGAAGUGUUUGUUUUAGCUCCUCCUCUGAUCCUUAAUCACUCUAUGGACUUUCUAUACAAUUGUUUUAUGAGCAGCUCCUGGAUUUCGUUAUUUGGUGAAUUCACAGUGGAUUCUUUCCCCUUGAAGUGAACUGGUUAUCUAAGGGGAUGUCAAGGACGACGAAUACUAUGACAUUGGUCAGUUUGUUUCAUAAAACACGGAUGUUCGGGCUUUCUGGAGCACCGAUGAUCCUUUUUCUGUCUUUUCUUUGGUUGAGACAAUCAAUUAUUAGUCUUUGAUGUCACAUCUAAGAGUUGGGGAUAGACUCAAAUUUACUGGUUUUGAUGGGAAUUUGUUCUUCAGUCAUAAACUUCACAAUGAAGAUUUUCGAUAGCAACAUCUUUAAAAAUGGAAGUAAACAUAGUACUAAGAAGACAAUGGAUGUGUUAAUUGAAAAGGAUGAAGCCAAAUUUGAGAUAAGCAAAUAAGAUUACAAGAGUUGUAAGAGGUAUUAUAUUCCACAAGAGACCAACUAGUUCUGCUCGAAUCUUCAAGGUAGUGGAGCCCAUUCCGUUCCUUAACAAAUCCAAUCAUCCUCCUCGUUUUCAAGUCCUACAAAAAACAACAAUCAAUAAAGAAAAACACCUUACAAGUCAGAUUUUUGGUAAGUUGAUGAAUGGAAAGGAGAUUGGUGGACAACUUAGGAACAUGAAGUACAUUGUCAAGUUAAAGUGAGGGAUUUAGAAUUAUGGUUCCUUAGCCAGCUAUAGUAAUAGGAGAUCUAACUAUUAUGGUAAUACUCCUAUAUCUUGGUGAUGGUUUAUAAGUUUUGUAUAGUUGGUUGCACUUGAAUCAAGAAUCCAUGAAUUAGGGUAAUGAGAAAUUGUUGAGUUUUUGGAAAUUAGGCACACAUCUGGCACACAUCUGACUAAAUUAAUAAACAUAUAUUACAAAACUUAGAUAAGAGGAAGUCAAGGAGAGUGCUGAUUUUACCAACUUUUAGCUCUAUUGAGCACCUGCGUUCUUCUAUGAAGCUUGAAGUAAUUUCUCUUGUAUGGCAUGGCUUUUUGCAGAAACUACACCAUAAACCUUCACUAUUCGUUGUCUUAAUCAAAUCCGUUCUCUUAUUUUUUCUACUAAGGAUUUGUUUUCUCCUUAAUUGCUUUCAUGGCCGAUCUUUCAAGGUGUUGGUCUUCAAGCAUUAUAGUCCAUCAGCUUUCUUCUUAUCCUAUAGUAGAAAAAACUUCAUUCAAGGAUGACAGUUGCUUCUUUCCAAUAAUCUCAACUUGAAUCUAAUCAAAAUUCGCAUUCAAACUUGCUAAAAACUCAAAAAUCCUCUCUCUCCAUAUGGUUUUGAAGAAUAUUAGUAUCUUAAGAACACAUCAUUGUAUAUUUGGAUUGUGAUCUAUUUCAAGCUAGAGACCUUUCAUGAGAUUGUAAUUGUACAAGGCUUAACUCUAAGCAUAUAAAUACUCCUUUUACUCACAAUAACACAAAAUUCUCUCUUUACCAAUAACAAAGACAUUUGGAAGAUAAACAUGGGAAAUUGUUUAUAGGCCAAGGGGAAAAUCUAGUUGGUUGCAAGUGAGUAUUCGCUGUAAAGUACAAGAUAGAUGGCUCUCUAGAGAGGUAUAAAGCAAGAUUGGUUGCAAAGAGUUACACUCAAAUAUAUAAAAGUGGAUUAUUAAAAGACAUUUCAACCGAUGGCUAAAAUGAACACUAUAAGAAUUUUAUUGUCUUUAGCUACUCAUUUUGAUUGAAAACUUCAACACUAUGAUGUAAAGAGUAAGUUUUACAUAGAGAUUUGGAAAAGGAAAUCUACAUGAGCAUCCCACCUAGUUUUGAAGGAAAAUAAAUAAUAGAAAAGGUUUGUAGACUUAAAGAAACACUACACAAGUUCAAGCAGUCACUUAGAGCUUGGUUUGGAUAGUUUGCUAGACUCAUGAAGGCAUCUGGGUGUAAACAAGCAAAGGAGAUCAUACAAUGUUCAUAAAACACUUGGACGAAGGGGGAGUUACAAUACUGUUAGUGUAUAUUGAUGACAUAGUAGUCAUGAGCAAUGAUGACAGGGAGAAAUGGUGCUUGAUUAAGGUGUUUGAAAUAAAGAAGUUAUGAAAAAUACGGUAUUUUAUGGGAAUUGAAUUUUCAUACUCAAGGCACAAGGUAUUUAUUUCACAAUGAAAGUAUGUGACAGAUCUUUUGCAAGAAACCAGGAAGAUUGGUUGCAAACAAGUAAGUAGUUACUCUGAUUGAGCUGCACCAAAGGCUAGCCGAAGCAAAAUUGGAGGUAGCAGUGGAUCAAGAAAUAUAUUAGCUAUUUGUGGGAAAGUUAAUCUAUCUCACUCACACCCCACCAGAUUUCUCCUAUGCAGUAAGCUUGAUUAGUUAAUUCAUGCAUAAUCCAAAUGAGUCACAUCUACAAGUUAUUCAUCGAGUCUUAUACUACUUGAAAAAGAGUCCAAGAAAGGGAAUACUUUUCAAGAAGAGUCUAGGUCUCAAGCUUGGGGCUUGUAUAGAUGUGGAUUAUGCUAGAUCUAUGGUGGAUAGGAGGUCUACAACUAGUUAUUGUACCUUCCUUGGAGGUAACUUGGAGAAGUAAGAAUAAAAUGUGGUGGCAAGGUCAAAUGCAGAAUUUGAAUUUAGAGCAACGACUCAAGAAAUAUGUGAGUUAUUAUUGCUCAAGAUCAUUCUUAAUGAUUUGAAGGUUAAGUGGCAAAGUCCUAUGAAGUUAUAUUGUGACAAUAAGUCUACAAUUAAAAUUGCUCAUAAUCCUAUCCAGCAUGAUAAGACGAAACAUAUUGAAAUUGAUAAACACUUCAUCAAGGAAAAACUUGAAGAAUGACUGAUUUGUUUGUCUUAUGUCCAACAAGUGAUCGAUGUCUUGAGCAACGGGUUCAAUGGCGAAAGUUUUCACAAGCUAAUUACCAAGCUGGGAAUGAAAGAUAUCUAUUCACCAACUUGAGAGCGAGUCUUAAGUUGUAAAUAGUCAUAUUGUAUGACUGUAAAUACAUUAGGAAUUUUUUAUUUAGGAAUUUUUUAUUUUAUUUGCUUCCUUUUUGUUUGCUUGGAUUGCUCUAUGUAUUAGCCUACAAAUAUAACACUAUAAAGUAAUAGAAUAUAUGAAUGAGAAUAAGAAUUUCUCUCUAUCUUACAUUCCAUGCUCAGCAAUGGGGUAGCCAUUGAAUUUGCUAGAGUGUAGCUAUGGCGGAUAAGUUGGCUUAGAGAUAGUGCAAUUCUAUCUUGAUGGAUAGAGGAUUACCUAAUCCCUCAAGCAGGGAGGGAUGUCUUGAGAUUCCAGAAUAUAUUUUGCCAGGGAGAAGGUGAAUCAAGAUAGCUACCAUAUUGUAAUUCUUGAUUCGUAAUAAUGAUAAUGUGCUCCUUUUCAUCCGUGGAUGUAGGUUCCACGUAAAAUUUCGUGUGCAUAUUUUGACAAUUUUUUUUUUUUGUCCAUGGUUUAGGUUAAAAAGAAAUGACAAAACAGAAAAAGUAACUAAGAAUCAUGUUGUGUGGUUUUCUUAAUCUCAAACUAAAGAUUUGUAUAAGUAGCAACCAGUGAAGAUGGUUUCUCUAUUUUUUUAUUUUUUUUUUUGUGAAAGAUAAUAAAUAUAUUGAGAAGAGGCCAACUAUACACAAGAUCACGGCUUCAAAACUUGCACUCCAAAUGAAAAGAUCAAAAGGAGUGGAAGGAUGCCAUGAUGUAAAACCCACGGAUACACGGCACACACCCUACAAUGCAAUGCCAAAGCCAAGCACGACAUAGACACCGACAUUCAAAACAAAAAAACGAUAGCCAGGGAGGAGGGAGGAGAGUAGCCCACGGCUCCCAAGCGAAGAGGCUUUGACAAGGCUACGGUCCCCAAAGAAAAUGAUCAGAUCAUUAUCCAAACUUCAUUGCAACCUUAUAUUCCUAAAAUUAUCUUCAGCAUUCCUGAGAGGUGAUAGUCUUGUCUCAUAUCACUUUGAAAAGAUGGUUCUUCAUGGUCGGAACCGUAAGAGGUUGAUCUCUGAAAAUGAUGCUAUUCCUAUUUUUCGAAAUGAUAUGACAAAGCAUCGAAGGAAAAACGGCCAAUGCAUUUAUAAAAAUCUUUACCCAUAAAAAAGGUAGCAGCCCAAUGUAUAUUCUCUCUCUCCAAGACCUAUUGCGCCAAGGCAAAGCACAUCUAGCAGCCCAAAAGAAAGCGACACUAGCCAUGACAUCGCAGCCAAAGAAUAGACAAUCAAUCGAGUCAAGCAUACCCUUGCAAAAAUGCAAGCCUUGCUAGCUAUUCUUCCAUGAGAAAGUAGGAGAGCUUAGGUGGGAAGCCUAUGAUUGGCAAUGAGCCAAAGGUUAAGUAGAUACCAAGGCAAUAUGGCAUUGUUCCAAACGAAGGCAUGCCAGUAGACUCGAGCCCUCUUCUGUCUGACAGAAUCCCAUGUCGAAGCCAUUGUGAAACGGCUCGACGAGCUAUCCCUCCAGCAACAGCAAUCCGAGUUCUAAGAGAGGGUUAGGAGUGGAAAACCCCACGACUCAAUCACAGCCUUAAGAGCUUGCCCAUCAUCUAAGAAGAGAUUAGCCACAGAAGCCUAUCCGGAGAGCUUUGAACUGUAGAUAAGUUAGUCCAAAAAAAUCAAGUCCCAAAGCCCCCUAGGGUAGCAAUUAUCAAAACAUAAAGAGGUUGAGAGCCCAUCGCCAAUUUCUUAGAAGAAGGCCUUCCGGAAAUCGUUCCUGAGGUUCAACAGGCUCUUCCAAGCCCAAGAACAAUAAGCUAGCUUCCUCACUAACCACAAGUUCUUGUUUUUAAGAAGGUGGAAUGAAUCCAUCUACACCAGAGCACCUCCUUGUUUGAAAACAGAAGUCAAAUAUACUUCAACAUCACGGCCAUAUUGCAGUCUCUGAGUGUCCUAAUACCAAACCCUCCCUCCUCUUUUGGAAGGCCAACAUCAUUGCAAGCUACAUUGGCACCACCUGUACCCAACUUCAGGCCUUUCCACUGCAAUUGUCUAAAUAGUUUCUCAAUCUGGUCCAACACAGCUAUAGGUAGAACAAAAACACUCGCCCAGUAGGCUUGUAUGGCAUGAAGAACUGACUUGAUGAGCUGAAGUUGUCCAGCAAGAGAGAGAAAGCGGUGAGUCCAAGACUGGACCCUCGUUGUAAUACGAUUGACAAGGGCACAACAAUAUCCUUCACUAAGCCUUGAAGUAAUAAUUGGAACCCCAUAUAACGAACUAGCAAGUUGCCUUCAUGGAAUCCAAAUUCGGAGAUAAUGUAAUUCCUUAAAGAAGGCGCACCUCCCGUCGAGAAUAUUUUACUUUUGCUUGGAUUUGGAUAUAAGUCACUCCAAGAGGAGAAGAUUUGAAGACUUUCUUUGAGGAGAACUACUGUAGGUAAAUCAGCCUCACAAAACAAAAAGACAUCACCUGCAAAAAAUAGAUGGGAAAGACUCGUAGCCUUACAUCUCUAGAAAAAUUUAAACUCCGAUCUCGAAGAGUACCUAACCAAGAUUCCUAAAUGCACCUCCAUAAUCAAAGUGAAAAGAUAAGGAGAGAUGAGAUCACCUUAGCAAAGGCCACGACCAGUCAUGAAGAACCAAUGAAGCUUCCCAUUCAAAGUAAUUGAGAACUUUGGAGUGCAUACGUAGGUCAUAAUAAGAUAAGUCACCAUCUCAAGAAAGCCAAAUGCCAAAAGAACUCCUUCCAAGAAGUCCCAAUCAAUUUUAUCAUAAACUUUCCUGAAGUCCACAUUUAUUGCACAUUUAGGCAAGUAAGACUCCAUAUGAAAGCUAAAAAAGAGUUAUUGAGCCAUCAAGAUGUUAUCCCUUAUCCAUCUGCCCUUCACAAAGGCGCUCUGAAAUGGGCUUAUUGUGCUCUUCAAAUCUAAUGCCACCCGAUUAGCUAGCACCUUGGUAAUGCACUUGUAAAUAGUGUUGUAGCAGGCGAUAAGUCUAUAAUUAUCAACGGAAGUGGCGUUAGGCACUUUAGGAACCAAAACCAAGAUGAUGUUGUUGAUCUCUCUUAGGAGUUUGCUGGAGGUGAAAAAGUCCAUGACUACCUUCGUUACGAGAGGUCAAACUGUCCCCCAAUUUUCCUUGAAGAGCUCGGCCGUGAAUUCGUUUGGUCUAGGGGCCUUUCCCCUAGGCAAGGAGAAUAAGGUGUCCUGUACCUCCAAUUCAGUGACCAGCCUAGCGAGAAAAGCGAUUUGGUCACCCGAAAGAGGGUGCUAGAUGACCUCCUUCAACUCCCCGAUCGAAGGCCUGGCCAGCUUAGCACACGGCACCAGAAGGUCUUGAUAAUACUCAACAAAACGAUGUUGUACCAGUUGUGGCUCAAUAAUUUGGUUCCUCGAGGAAUUGAGUACAGAAAGAAUUUUGUUCCUCAACUAUCUCUUAUUGACAUAUUGAUGGAAGAAUUCAGUAUUGCGGUCUCCCUACCUGAGCCACAUGACCCUCGACUUCUGUCUAAAGAAUGACUCCUCCAAGGAUCACAAGUCAGCAAAGGUACACCAUUGAUCAUUUUCUACCUCGGUAAGAUCAACAAAAAAGGGAUUGUACUGCAAUCAUGCCUGUGUGAUCUUUAAAGCUUUCCUCGCUUCUAGCAUCUUGGCGGAGAUAUUAGAGAAUAACUCUUUAUUCAACUGCUUGAGCCGGUAUUUAAGAGCCUCGAUCCUGGCCACAAGCCUAUACAUAGGAACUCCCACACCCGGAUCUUCCUAGAUUUGAUUGACAAUUGAAUUCAACUCUAGGUGCUUAUCAAAAAGUCAAAGAACUUGAAAGGCUUCCUCCGAGAAAUUGGGCCAAGCACCUUGACCACCAUAGACAUGUGAUCCGAGAUACCCGACGCUAGGAAGGAAGAUUCCAAGUAGGAAAAGUCAAUGCUCCACUUAGGAUUCACCAAUACCCUGUCAAUCUUUCUAGCCUUUCUAGUAGCCCUCGAGGAAAUAGUUCAAGUAUAUCUAAAGCCUACAAAUCUCAAGUCUUCCAGUUUGGCCCGCUCCAAGCAUUGACCAAAUUCAUCAAAACAAGGGAUCAAAGCAUCAGAGUUGUGACAGUUUGAUUUUCUACUUCUGUUUUCAUUUGAGUAAAUCGGGCUUUUCAUCGACAUGCCUAUAGUACUAUUCUCUGAACCGAUCACUUAGAAGAUAACUAAACUAGUUGGGGGAGUCAUUAAGGGAUUUUAAUACAACAGGUUUGAGAAUUUGACCAGGAAUCGACAGUUCGACCGUAUUUGUGACAGUCUGAUUAAUUGAAUUGGGCUUUUCGUCAACGUGUCUAUAGUGCUAUUCUUUAAACCGAUCACUCAUGAGAUGACUAGACUAGUUGGAGAAGUUAUUAAGAGAUUUUAAUGCAAUAGCCUUGAGAAUUUGACCAGGAAUCAACUGCUCCACCAUGUUAAUCUACAGGGGUCAUUGCGGCACAGUGGAAAAUCUAUCAGAGACCAGAGAUAGGUCAAUUCAAUUGGAAUACGUAAAUAGGCAUUGGUGAUUCCACCUAAUUACACAAUUCUCAUCGAUUGGCACUAAACCGAUUUUUCUGUCAUUUUGGUACCUUGUGCCCGUAAUUGAAAUCUCGAGAUUUUCACGACAAUCGAGAGUUGCCAAUGAGUCGAAGAUAUACAUUGUGACUCGAAAAUAAUCGAUCACAGGUCAUUUGCACCGAAAAUUUCCAAAAACUACUCGAUAGUUAAGGUUGCGCUAAAAUCAUAUUUGACUGAAAGUAAAUGAGGAAAUGAUGCCGAAUUUAGAAAUUGAGAACCCUAAUGUGUCACAAUUAAUCCUAGGAAUGUUGUUGCAUCUUUUCAAGAUUUAUUGACGACAUGAAUGGUAAGUGAAAAAUGCAAAUGCAGCAAAUUAAAGGAAUAAGAAAAAGACCACAUUUUAAAUGGAUUGUUAAUCCUCAAUGUGGAACCAAUGGAAAUAAGAAUUAUAAGAGUGAAUUGAGGGCUUAUCUUGGUUAGUAAGGUUAUUAAAUGGCCAAGUGAAAGAAAGGAAAAAAUGAAGGAUAAAGGCAAUGAAACUCGGAUGCCUUCAUGUAAGGAUGAAUUUACUUACAUUCGAAUGCCAUUUGAAGGGUAAAGAGUAAUUCCAAAGAGGGGUAGGCCCCUUGAGAGUAAUGGGGACUUAGGUUCCAUGGAAAAAUGGGGGAGGGGAAAGUCAUUGGAAAUGGCUGCAAAUUCGGAGCUAUGUAAACCAAGGGGAAUUUCAGCAUCAUUUGAGUCUCAUUUGAAAGGGAUAAGCUUGUUUAGAUGUGGUAGGGCACUGACAAUGAAAGGAGUGAGUUUUUCCAUGGAUAAAGUACCAAGGCCCUUGUGGAAAAACAAAAAUGUUGUGGAAAUAUGGAAGGAGGGACCCCCAUGGUCCUUUUUCCUCCCUCUCCUCUCCCCCUCCGUGCAAUCCCUUCUCCUCAUUGGCGCCAUGCGUCUACCCUUUUCUUUCUCUCUCUCCUCCUUUCUUUUUAUUUCCCUUUCCCUUUCCUUUCCUCAGCUGCAAAUCCUGUUGUCUUCUUCUUCUUUAAGCUAGUUUAUUCGACCCUUCCUGCUCCCUCUUAGACGACAAACCAGCGACCAAGAAAACAAAAGAAAGCUAUGUUUUAACAUUACAAAUUUUCUAGACCCACAGAAGCUUCGACCCAACUACCUUUAUGUUUCGCUUCUCUUUCCUGUGGCCUUUAUUUACUGAGCAACCAUCUCCACUAGCAAGCCCACAGCCCUCUAAAAUCAACACCGCCAUUUCCUUUGUUGGUCGGAAACUCUUCAGCUUAGUUCACAGCUGUUGUCGCAACACCUUAGCUCAUUUCUCCACCGUUUCAGCUCAUCCUCACCACUGAAGAAGCCAAACCCUUCGCCCGUGUUGCCAUCCAACUACCGAAGCCACUCCGACAUCCCCGGAGGUCACGGCUUAGCUACUGCCGCUCAGUCAGCACCAGUAGCUUUGGAUUUCUAGUUAGGUAAGUUGUUUUUCUAAGGCUUGAUUAUGGGCUAUGUACCUCCGUUUAAGAAUUUAAAUAAGCUAAGGAAGGUUUAAAUGGGAUUAAAUAUAACUUAGUGUUAGUUUACAAAGGUUAGAUCAACCAUAGAAAAGUUUAGUAUUUGUUUAAAUAACAAGCUCAAAACCUUAGAAGAUAGUUUCGCCAAAGACAAAAACUAUUUUCCAUAACUAAUUUCUAGAUGCUUACGGUUUGCUAUUUUUAUAGAUUGAGAUGUGUUGUGAUUUUGAAGUGAUUUAUUUCCGAAGAAAUAUUUUAGACAUUUUCCAUCAUAAAAUAUAUUUUUCUCAGGAUUUUUGGGGAGUUAAAAGAAGAUUUUGACUCCAUUAUCUUUAAACAGAAAGUCAGACUAUAUAGGAAAUCCUGACCUAUUGGGAUUCUAUGGGUCUUUACUAACCCUUAGGGUUCGAAGUUCCAAAUGAUUUCUUCACAAAAGUUAUUUUUUUUUUCUUCUAGUUUAACAUACUCAAACUUUAUGGAUUAUUUGAUUGAUACUAAUGCAGGGAAAUGCUAAGGUUAAAAGAGUUGUGAGAAAUGUGACUAGGUUGUAUGUAGAGUGUAUUCUUCUCCUAAUUGAGAUUUAGGUCAUAAACUCGCUGAGAUGUGAUCUCACCCCAUUGUGGGAUAAAUUUUUCAAGUCCCUAGAUUGAGGCUUUUGAAGAGAAGUGUAGGAGUUGGCAGGAAGUGAAAGCUAGGUUUGUGUUCGGUUGCUGUAAGAAGUCGAUAGAUCUUCCAUCUAGUUUGGACAAUGGGUGACAGUUUACCCAUUUGUUAUCGAAAAGUCUGACAGGAUUGCUAGGGACCUCGUUCCCAUGGAUAAGGAGCUUAGAGCGUAGAUAGCCUAAAAGCUCUUCUUUUUUAAACAGAUCCAUGUCAUAUUAGACUUUUAUGUAUAUAAAUACUCUUGUAAAAAUAUGUGUGUUUAGUGUAAAUAUAAUCCUAUGUUUGCUAUCUCGUCUCUACGUUAUUUGGAGGUUAUUCUUAUUACGUUUUUGCUCGCAAAAUAAAAUGAAUGGGUCCGCAACCAAUCUCGGGAGGUUGCAAAAUUUUAUUAUUCGACCACUAAGCGAUAUGCAUGCGCUCAAGGUUUUCGCCGCGAUAAUGUUAGUCUGCAAAGGUGAUUGCGGUACAAUUGAAAAUAUAUCAGAAACUGGAAAUAUGUCGAUUCAACCGAAAUAUGUAAUUAGGCAGGGGCGAUUCCACCUAAUUGUAAAAUUCUCGUCGAUCAGCACUAAACCGAUUUUUCUGUCGUUUUGGUAUCUUGUGCCCGCAAGUGAAAUAUUGAGAUUUUAACGACAAUUGAAAGUUGCCAAUGAGUCGAAGAUGUAUAUUGUGACUCGAAAAUAAUCGACAACCGGUCAAUUGCACCAACAAUUCCCAAAAACUGUCCAAUAAUUUAGGUCACACUAAAAUCACGUCUAACUGAACUGUGAAAUUUAAUCCGAUUUUAGAAAUUGAGAAUUUUAUCGUGUCACAAUUAAUUCUAGGAAUGUCGAUGCAUUCUCUCAAAACAUUUUGACGAAUGUGAAAUUUUGAUGGAAAAUUCAAAUUACAAUAAGCAAAGUAAAAUUGGGGGAAAAAAGGCCGUAAUGUAAAGGGAUUUUGGUCGUUAAUGAAGAACCUUAGAAGAUGGGAAUUAUAAGGAUUUAAAUAAGACUUUAUCCUUGUUAACUAAGGUUAAGAAGUGAUAAAAUGAAAAAGAGAAAAGCUAAUAGAAAGGAAGUCAAAUUUGGAUGUAGACAUACCACGAGAAAAUCCACCACCAUUUGAGUUUCAUUUGAGGAGGAUAAGAUUGGUUUGAAGUGAUGGGCCACAUGAAAGUGAAAGGAGCUUAACUUUCAUGGAAGAAGGACCCAAGGCUUGUGGAAAUUGGGGAGGGGGACCCUCCAUGGUACUUUCUCUCUCUCUCUCUCUCUCCCCAUCUGCGUGUAUCCCUCCCCCUUGUGCCGUGCGACUACCCCUCUUUCUCUCCCUUCCUCUUUCUUUCCUUUUCUCAACCGUAAAGUCCCUUGUCUUCUUCUCCUUUAAGCUAUUUUGUUCAACCUCCCAUGUUUCUUCUUAGAUGACAACCCAACAGCCAAAAACAGAGGAGAGCUCUAUUUUAGUGCUGUGGAUUUUCUGGACUAGCAGAAACCUUGGCCAAGCUGUCCUCAUGUUCCAUUUCUCAUUUGCAACUGUCCUCACCAACGGCCUAGCAGUCCACAAAAACCAAUGAGAUUUCUGCAUCUCUUCGCCGGAAGCUCAAUGCCACUGCAUACGGCUGUUGCAGCAUUUCCACCGCCCAUCCCUCCUCGAUCUCGACUCAUGGCCCUCACUAGAAGCAGCCAUCCCUUUGUCAUUCCUACUGCCCAGUCACCGAAACCCUUGUUGCACCGGUGCAGCCCGUCAGUCAACUAAAUAGCUCCAAGGUGCCGCUGCCUCGCCUCCAAGAAGCUCACCCCGUCGAUGCUCGACCUAGUCUAGCCGAGAAGCCUGCUUCUGAGCAGUAGGGCGAGGGCCUUGCUGGCCUAAGCAGUAGGGGUGAUCGGGUCCAGGGUGGGUAGGGUCUAGACCUGGACCCUGUACCCGACCCUGUUAUAACAAGUUCUCUUUUUAUGGACCAUGUUCCCGACCCUGUUUGCAUUAGACCCUGUUCCCGACCCACCCUGUUUUUUCGGUCCGGGAACAGGGUUAACCUCGUUUAUAUUGGAACCUGUUUUGCAUAUGUAUCCAGUCAAAUGAAGAAACUUUCAUAAGUCAUGUCAUAAACACCCAAUAUAAAAGUAUCAAGACCUGCUUGAAAGUUGGAUAAAUUGGAUAUGUAUCUAGUCAAAUGAAGAAACUUUCACUAGAACCAAGAAAAAGGGAAAAAGGAAAAAAAAAAAAGGAAGAUCUCCCAAUGCUUGUGAGAAUUGAUAGAACAGAGAACUUCACUUACAAACAACUACAUCAUGAUCCCAAAAAUUUCCAGUUUCUAACAAAGAUAUUAGUGAUAGCACCAAGCACCACCACCAGCAAUACAGUUCAUAUUUUCACUUUAACUCUAAAGUAAUAAUUACAGAUGUGCACAAUAAUUAAAAUAUGUCUCUUAAACAAAGGCAAGAAGCAGAAAGAAGUGACAGGACUAAGUUCUGAUUUAAAAUGAAAGGAAAAGCACCUCAUGGAGCUUAUUCCUUCUUCCUUUAGAUUCAAUAGGAAAGCGCCUCAGCAUGAAAAACAACCUGGAAUUAUUUGACAACCACACUAAUCACAAGGAGAAAAUCAAACCACACAGAGUAAGCAGAACAUAAAAGUUCCAGAUGCUCUGAGUAGUAAACUAGUACAUUAACUUCUAAUAAUUACCUUCCUCUAUAAAGCAAGAAGCCCAAUGCAGCUAAUAUUGACACAACCGUGAGAAACAAGAGAGAGUUAACAGAAUGACAUACAACAUUGCAGUCAACACAAAAACCAUCAGUUAACAAAAUGACAUGUUACAUCGACACAAGAAGAAUACCAUGAGGCGCUAAAUUUAAGUGCUAAUUGACAAGCCCCAUUUUCACUACAUAUGAAAAGGAAAUGGGAUUGAAAGUCGUUUGCAAUAAACGAAAAGCUAAUUCAGGCUCAUGAACUAGAAUAUGCGCCUCUCCGGAUCCACCUUUAUGACCAACAGCAAAAGAUAGAGCAUUUUCCUAGAAAGCAACUCCCGCAAGCACAAUCACUUGAAAAUGUGAUUCCUCGAAAUCUGGGAGCCCUAAGCAACUACUCCAGCAAUGGCCGAAUGCGGAAAAAAAUCUAAUUCGAAUGCGACAGAAUGCGCAAACUACACAGGUCGCGGCAACGCAAUUCGUACGAGAAACCCUCGGCCGUCCUGGUGCAGAAGCCCGAAAGGGGGACUCACUUUGGGUGGGAGGUUGAAGAUGUCGAGGCAAAUCCUGCUGCCGUUGUCGAUGUUGGGGUGGUAAAUCGGUGUCUGGACCAUCACGCUCAGAGGCUGAAACAGGUAGCUGAGACAUUCCACAACAACGACCCUCGAAAUCAAAACUCAACAACAAAGACAACUCUCUCAUCUACUGAACCAAAACCAAACCCCUAAAAAAGAAAAUAUUGAAAACGCACCAUUCAGGAAUCUGGAUCUUGAGCUUGAAGACGCCGCCGGCAUACACGAACUCUUCGGGGCCUUUGAUUUCUGGAACGAACGACACUCGACACGAUCGGCGAUUCGGCGGUGAAAACCAACAAAAAUUAGGGGGGCGUGGAGUAGGGAGAGGCGGAGUGGCGACGUCGGGAUCUCACCGGCUGCGGGUGUCGCGGGAGGAAGGCGAUGGUGGGCGAGCGGAAGCAGCGUCAGCGCUCGGAUGGAUCGGCGGAGGUCGCGAGCUUGGGGAAGUUUGCGGGUGUGAGAGCUUGAGAGUAAAGAUAGAAAAAAAUUAGGGUUUUUGGACUACCUUAAAAACCGGUUCUCAAACCGGUUCCCGAACCGGUCCGAUCGAUCCGAUUCCCGGUUGGGUAACCCUCGGAACCGGUUCCCGGACCGGUUCAAACAGGGUCUGCACUUUGGGAACCGGUUCCUGGACCGGUUUCAACCGGAAUCGGUUCCUGACCCUGUUUUCCGGGUGGGCCGAUCCGAGAAUCGGGUUGACCCGGUUCGGUUGCACACCCCUACUAAGCAUGGCCAUCCGAAGGUGUUCUAGUGCCUCCUUGGAUCGAGACCUCGCCGCCGUUGCUCCGCCAUUGCUGGGGGUCUUUAGCUUUUAAAUUAGGUGAGUCAAUUUCCUAAUUUCUAAUUAGUGGUUGAUUACAUUUCCUUAUGAGUAGGAUUAAGUUAAAUAAGAUUAUAAACUAGUUUAGUUAGGAUAAUGACUAGUUAGAUAGUUAGUUGAGAUGAGACUAGAUAGUUAGACUAUAUAAUUAGGUUGGUUAGACUAUUUAGUUAGAGACUUAAAUAUAUAGUUAGGUUGGUUAGACCAUUUAGUUAGAAACUUAAAUAUUUAGUUAAAUGCGUAGACUAAAAGGUUAUUGCAAGGCAUUAGUUUAGUCGAACAAUUUGAUAAUUGGUUCUAGUUGCAAUCAAAUUGAAUUGAUAGUGAAAAAUUAUAAAUGGUAAUUAAUUAAAUAAUUAAAUUUAAUGAUUUAACUAUAAAUUAGUUAAUUAUUUAAUAUUUUCCGAAAAUUAUACCGGGAUAACUAGGGAUCGGAAUUUUGUGUUGAUUUCAAUAGUAUGCUCAGUUUAUACAAUUAAUUACUAAAUUGUGAAAUUGAAUGACAUAUUUUUUUUUGUCAGUCCUACUCUAUUCCUACUCUACAUUCACUCUCAGACUUUUGCCCUGCCUCUUGCAGGGUGUGGGAGUCGAAACCCACUCCUAAAACUUACGCGUCCCCACCCCAUCCCUCCCUAAGAAUGUGGGAAUUUGAACCCAUCACCUCCCCCUUCAAUGUUAGAAUGGUGGCCACUAGAGCGAAUCCUAGUGGUUAAUGACGGAUGUUGAAAUUGAGUAUUUGUCUCAAUCAAUGAAAAUUCAGUAUUUAAGUUGGAAAAUACCAAAGGCAAAACUUUUGUUACCAAAAGCGGGUUUUGACUACUAUAUAAAUAGUGGGGCUUUAAAAGAGGAAUUAUCAAAUUUUUUUGAUCAUACUGAUUGUGUAUAUGCCCACAAUUAAUAUGAAGAAAAUAGGCCAUGAUCACCAUUUUAAUUGAGGUAUUUGAGUGUAAUGCACGAUGUCCUAGGCUGAAAUUGGAUGAAUGCAUGAAUGAUAUGAGAUGCCGUCACGAGCCUUUAGGCCGAACGAUGCUCUUUCGAGAAUGCCCCAAGUCAACAGAUGUUAAUCGCAAUGGAGGCUCGACCGAUGCUCCUUCGAGGAAUGUCGUCUAGAUGUAGACGUUGACAUGCUUGAUGGUGCGGACGAAACCCAGUUAAGCCGGAAGAUUGCUGACUAUUGAGUCGGCCAUGACCAAUAAUCAAUUGGAACGCAUGAAUGAUUGAGAUUGAGGGACUUGAUUAGGAGACUGAAUUGUAUGCUACGGUAUGGGACAUACCAUAACGAUUUGGUCUGGUAAUAUGGGCCCGUGAAUCGAUGACAAUAUAUAUUUAUGUGUAUACAUGUCGAGAUGUUCCACUGAUGCUUGAUUUCAAUAUAAUUAUAUACAAAUUUGAAUGAUACUAACAUGCAGGAAGACACGGGUGUUACAUGACUUUUGGGGAGAUAUGGUUAGACUACAUGUAGGUGUACUUUUCUCCUAAUUGGAAUUAAGGAAUGAACUCGCUAAGAUGGCGUCUCACUGGUUAUUGUAUAACCAUUUUCAGAUCCCUAAAUGGAGGAUUGUCAAGCGAGGUGCAGGGGUUCUCAAGAAGUGAAGCUUAAGUUUUUCUUUAGUCUAUGUCAAAUGUCAAUAGGUCUUCCGUCUAGUUUGGACAGUGGGUGACAGUUCAUCCUUUUGUUAUCGAGAAGUCUGACAGGAUCGUAGAGGACUCCAAUCCCAUGGACGAGAAGCUCAGAGCAUAGAUACCCUGGAAGCUCUUGUUUUUUUUAAAUAGAUCCAUGUAGUGUUGGACUUCUCUGUAUAUAGGUGUUGUUGUAUUAUAAGUGUGUUUCGUGAAAAUAUCGUCCUACGUUUCUAUCCCACUUUUGUGUUAUUUGGAGAUUAGUAUUAUGUUUCCAUGAGUGCCAUAAAUUGAAUGGGUCGGCGACAAUUUCUGGGGCGUCGCAAAUUGUAUUGACCACCAAGGAAUGUGCAUGCACUCGAGAUUCGGGUCGUGACAAGAGCCACCAACAGUCAUAAGAGUCUUUAAUAGCAUUGAAGUCCCCCAAAACUAAUCAGGCUGAGUUUUGCAAAUCAAUGCUCCUAAGGAUCAAGUCCUCCCACAAAGGUCUCCGGAGCGAAAAUGAGUGAUCGUCAUAGACAAAAGACAUAGCAGACCACCCUGGAAUCCAACCGUAUGAGGUUCCCAUGAACCGCCUGCUUAGUAAUUGCAAAAGCUUCAAACUUAACUUGUAAGGGAUCCCGGCCAACUUAGAUCCUACCCUUAGGAGAGAACUCAUAGUUUGCAAGCCAACACCACUCUCUGAUCAGUUCCCCAAAAUUGGAACUAAAGAGAUUAUGUGGCACCUUCGUUUCCAAUAAAUCAACACAGAACAAGUGGCUUGAUGAGACAAGGUUUCGGACCUUCGCAUGCUUGAUGGGGGAAACAAGGCCCCUAAUAUUCCAGCAACCGUCGAGGCUUCAACAGGGCUGAUGGGGUCCUCUCCAUCGGGAACAGGGGCAUCCGUCUUAAUAAGGAUCUACAAGCAUGUAAGGGCCCUACGAGUUGACGUCAAGGGUAGAGACUUCGCAGCUGCAACAACAUUUUGCUUGGUCAAUUGUUCCUCAUCACUUGAGCUAACCGAAAGGGUUGGAGCAAAUUCCCUAGGAGAAGGGGACUUCUUUUUCUUUCACCUAACCUGUUGCCACUCCAAUUCAUGCUCCCGAGAGCCCUCCACCCUUGCUAGAAUAGGCUCGAGGCGAUGGCUCACUGCAGGAGGGGCUGGGCUGGUCUGAGCCUACUGUGAGCCCACCUCCGAUUUAGGGACUGCUGGAGAUUCCUCACAGUUGUGUCCAAAAGUGCCACACUUCAAGCAUUCAGUCGGUUUCUAUUCAUAUUCAAUGGCAAUUGAUCGAGAGACUCCAUUCAACUUCACAUUAGCCGAAGAGACCCUCGACUGGUUAACUUGGAACUAAACACAAACCCUUGCAAAAGAAAUCAUUCGCAUUUACUCCGUGCAGUGAUCCACAUGAAGAGGCUUACCAACAGCGCUUGCUAUGGCACUAAUCGCUGAUGUCGACCACAGGUCGAGGGAGAGAUUCUUCAAGUGGAUCCAAACCGGCACCAUGAUUUGCUUUUCCCUCUUCAACUCUAGAAGAGGUUCCAUUGUUGCAAGAUGAUAGGGACUCUUGCAAUGGUUAUAGGUCCAUCCUCCAAUAUCUUCCUCUGGAAAGCAGGGUCGAGGAUAUAGAAGAAGAAAAACCCCUGAUUGUCCGCGGAAACCUCAAGAAGCUUCGCCCUCAAUUGUGUUUAAGAGAAUCUCAGUGAGUUGGAAAGGCAUCCUCCUUCCUACAUAGUAUCCAACGAGGCAUUCAUAUCACUUGGGAUCCACCGCAUCAAACACCUCCUCCGAAGAUUAACAGUCGGGAUAUUGUCCUCAAAUGAAGGGGGAACGUUGGUUAGAUCGUACUCCUUAGUUGCAAGCUGAGCAACGUUCGCCCACGAUUGGGGAGGUGAGGGCUUGGAGUUUCCCGACUGCUUUUGCGGGGCUUGAGGCUUCUUGGACGCCAACCUCUCACACGACUACGUCCUCUUGAGUGUCCUCCCCAGGCCGAGGCCUUGGGGCGAUCCCGGUUCAGCAUCGCCUUUGCUGCAGGGCCCUUUCCCGUGACAGGGACGACUAGGCAGCCAAGUUUCGAGAAGAAAUGCUGAGUCCCUUCUCAGUACCUGCACCCAUUUAGGCCACAUUGCUCGGUUCACCCACCACAGUAGGUGAAGCAGCCAUAAAACAGCAGAAACCAACACUAAAACCCCCUGAACAACCUUCUAUAGUACAAGCAAAGCAGAGGGGGUCCAUACCAAGGCAAGGCAAGGCAAGAUCUUCAAUAGGUCAAGGAGGGAUACUGAGGAUUGUAAUCUCCACAGUAGAGACGCUUUGGGCCGCUCCGAAACCCAGCACGAGCAGAAUCAGGUGAAACAGAGCAGCAAAUCGCGUGCUAGGGCAGAACCCCUUUCCACUAACAGCACCAAGCAGAGCAAGGCUUAUGCGGGAAGAAGAGGGGUGCUGAGGAGUCACAAAUCAACAGCAAGGGCCGCCAAAGGAGCUUUGACACCCAGCACAAACAGAACAAGGGCCGAUAGAGCAGCAAAUCGAUCGAAAUUUAAGGUAAGGUAGAUGUGGACUGGGGGGCAAAACAAAGCAAACCGCUCGGUGAGGGACAGGAGGAAGGUCAGCUGAAGCUACCCUCCAAAUCUCAACCGAAACCAAUGGCUACAAACUUCGGGAUGAGCAGAAGAACAGACGAGAUGAACAGGAGCUGAGUCUCGCCCUAGAGAGAAUCCCGGUGAACAGUAAAGCGAGAAUGCACAAUUGGCCCUCCUCUAAAGCACGAAGCGGAAAAUUCUCUAUUUAAUGUCGAAUACUCAAAAAUUCAUGGGCUUGUAAUUAAUGUUUAAAAUGAGUCAUUGUUAUGAGUUAUGAUUUUGUAAUUAAUGUGAGUCAUGGUUAUGAAUCAUGAUUUUGUAAUUAAUGUUUUUGGACAGAGAAGUGGGCCGUGGAUCGUGUUUUGUAUCUCAAUAGUAUUUAAUAGUGUUCAUUCUGGCCUGUUGAUAUGCACUUCGUGUGUUCUUUUCUGUUGGCACAGAAAUUAGAAUGGCAGCUGAACAUAUUAUCCUGGGAUGGAUUUCCUGAAUCAGUCAGGCCUUGAGGACACACAGUUGUGACUGCCGUUCUCCGUACUCCAUUUUUUUAUGUGUUCUUUUUUCGAUUUUUACUUCAAAAAUUGGAUAGACCUAUACAGACAUUUUCAGGGGUAGAACCUGCUUUGGCGUCAAGUGGGUUCACGUUCGUAUCGGGUGGACUGGUUGUAUCAUCUUCUGACAUUUAGCUGUUAGUGGAUUAGAGGCUGUUUGAUUGGGUUGUUAGAUGUUUGGCAGUCUCUUUGUCUCAUUGAUGUCCUUUGAUUAGGACUCUGAAGUUGAUUAGAGUUGCAGCCAUUGAAAUGGUGGGGUUGCACUUGCUUUACACACACGCAACUUGAACACUGUCUGUCUGUCCUUUUCUUCACUUCUCCUCAUCUAACUAGAUGGAUGAUGGACCCCAUAUCAUGAAUUAUUGAUCCAUUGGAAGCAACAUUGAAGAGAUGUCUGUUGAGUUAUGGAAGAGCAAAUAUGCUUAGCAGAAUUAGGUGGAUGAAGUUUGGAUAUCAUUCGAAAGGAAAUGUUAUGGUGGCCCCUUUCUUGCUCUUUCUCUUAGGUCUUUGAGGAACUAAGACUUCACAUGACAUGUGCGCAUGGCAUGUGUAACUAUUUAUUGUCAGUUUCCAGUUUGGAUGCUGUUUGCAGGGUGACUUCAGGUCUGAUGAACUUGAGAAGUGUAAGGAAAACUUACUUAGUAUUAUUCAAUAAAGUUUAAUAUAUAUACACCAAAAAUAAACCCUAAAAGUGGUAAAGACUAAUUUACCCUAAGACUAAUUUACCCUUCUUACUCCUAACACUCCCCCUCAAGCUGGAGCAUAAAUAUUAAUCAUGCCCAGCUUGUUACAAAUAUAUUCUAUCCUCCCAUUACCCAAGGACUUAGUAAAGAUGUCUGCAAGUUGUUCACUAGUUCGAACAUGACUGGGAAGAAUUACUCCAUUCUGCAACUUCUCUCGGAUAAAAUGACAAUCAACCUCAAUGUGUUUUGUUCUCUCAUGAAUCACGGGGUUGGAAGCCAUAUGCACAGCAGCUUUAUUAUCGCACCACAGAGUCAUGGGUACUAAAUCUUUAAAGCCUAACUCAGUCAAUAACUGUCGAAUCCACACUAAUUCACUGCAGAGCACUUCCAUUUGUUCAUUAUAGUAACCUGGUUUUUGUUACACAAUUAGUGUUCUGUAUUAAGUUUGGUACCUACCUUGACCUUGUAGCCAUAUGAAAGCUCUAAUUCUGAUGAAGAGACAAUUUCUGUCUUGACCAUGUAGCUAUAUGAAAGCACCCUAAUUAUGAUCAAGAGACAAUUUCUAAAUAUUUGUUCCUAUUACUCGUUAUCCUUCUCAUUGAUGCUUACCUUGCAAGGCCAUAUCAUUCACAUUAUCAGCAGUGAAGUGAAAUUGAGAACUUACCGAGAUGCUGGUCACACCUGCAGAUCUUUGUACUGAUGUAGAGGUCUUGGUGUAUCUCCGUCGCCUCCUAGGACCUGAAUUCAUUGUGGGGUUCGCCUAUGGUUUUCCUUCACAGUUGGUUAAGCAUGAUGCAAUCUCAUCUGACUAGGAACAUGUAUUACUCUACUGUCUUGAGAUUUACUUGUACGCUUAUAUUUGAAAACAUCUCUAGGACCCAUGAUUAUGAUGAUGGAGCUAUUGGUAGAAGUUUGAUAUUUGUAUUUAACUCCUUUCAGAAUCCCUCUCUUUAAUUUGACGUUUGAACGAAGUUAUGAUGCUCUCUCUCUUGACUGUUCUUUCUUUCGUUGGAUAACAAGUGGGAGAAGCAGGUCAUCUUGCAGAUUAUGAAUCUGUUUAUGUGAAGAAGCUGGGAUCUUCUAUUUCCAUUAACCUCAGCUCCAGGUUGUUGUGCUGAUUUCGAAUCUGUCUGGAGCCAGGUCCAUUGAUCUGUGUUCCUUAGCUCCUUUAUUCAUCAUCUCUUCCAAUUUUCUGGCAUUGUUAUUAUAUAUGUAUAUUAUGUGGUGGCAGAGCCACGCUUAAUUGCAAGGAGGUAGUGUCAACGUUAGUGAACUGUCCACAAACUUUCUGUAAAUCCAUGUUGAUAAGAGGGGUGAGUUUUAGCGUGAUUAAUGUGUCCUUCGUACUAAGAUGGGCUAUGACACUUGUUCUGGAUCAUUUUACAAAUGUGACAUUUGUAUUCAUAUGUAAAAGGAGCUUCUGUGGCACAAGUAACAGUUUUUAGCAUGCGUUUGUAAACAGAGNNNNNNNNNNNNNNNNNNNNNNNNNNNNNNNNNNNNNNNNNNNNNNNNNNNNNNNNNNNNNNNNNNNNNNNNNNNNNNNNNNNNNNNNNNNNNNNNNNNNNNNNNNNNNNNNNNNNNNNNNNNNNNNNNNNNNNNGCAACUAUGGUGGAUAGGUUGGCUACAUAGAAUGCAAUUUUGUCUUGAUUAAAGAACUAUACCUUAUCCCAUCUGGAGUAGAAAACCUGCUGCUCUGCUGAAUGCUUUUGUUUCCUUUUGUCGUAGUUAAGUCAACAGAAACAUCUAGAAGAUAAGAGUUGUCUUCAUUGUGAUGUGGCCAGAGGAGAGCGGGACCAGACCACUUGUUGCUGCUCAAGUAGGGAUGGAUGUAGAGUUGUUGGAAUAUGUGUUGUCAAGGGAGCAAUUGAAACUAGAUGGUUGCCGUACUGUAAUUCUCAAUUCCUAUUGAUAAUCUGCUCCUUUUUAUCCGUGGAUGUAGGUCAAUUUGGCUUAACCACGUAAAUUUUCAUGUGUAUCUUUUGGUGGUCUAUUUUUUUUUUCCGUGUCAAUGGUCUAGGUUUAUAUGAAAUGACAAGAUAGAGAUAAGACCUUCGUUACUUAGCUCUCCCAUUCUAUAAGUCGUAAUCAAUAAACAUGGUAUCUUCGUCUAAUAUUAAUGUUGGAAAAUACUCACAAAAAGAGACAUUCAUUAAUAUCUAAUAUGAAAGUUUGAAAUACUCGUAUGAAUUUUGCUAGUAAAUAAUCCUCUAAUGAUGAAGGAGAUGAAUAAAUUGACAUGAGAAUGAGUCAAAUUACUUUAGUUGCUUUGCAAAUUGAUGAUACUUUAUUUUUCGGUCAGUAUUUUUGUUGUAAAAUCAAGGAUAACAAAUUGCCAUGUGCUAUCUGUUUUGCAAUUGAAACUAUCACAUGUAGAAUCCUAGCAUGAAAUAGAAGCAAAAACAUGUUAAAUUGACAAAAAAAUCAUGGCAAAUCUUCCAUAGAUAACAAGCUUACGGUUUGACACUCGUUUAUAAACUCAUAAACUAAGUAGUCAUGGAUUGAUAAGAAUUUGUAUAAACAUAAUGGUGUGGUAAUGUAGUCCAAAGACAAAAAAGGGGCACAAGAACUUUUCAACAUCUUUGGCCAAAUUUGAGGACGAGGACUCCAAUGGGGAGAAAAGAGGUUCUUGUUGGUGGAGAGCCACUUGUCCUAGAUAAGAUUGUGCUAGCAAAAAGCUAUUCGAGUUCGAUCACCUUUUCUUUCUUUGCUAGCAAGUUGUUCAUGUGGUUGAAUUAUCUCGAAAAUUCUUUUCCUACUAAUCGCUAAGUAGUAGAAUCAAUCCCAAUCUUCUAAAGAGUGCCCAAUUUCAUCUCAACAUAUAAUCCCAUCAUAAAAAGAUCCAAUCGUUCUAAUUUAUUUCCCAAGUCUUCUAACACUUCCGAUGGGAGCAAAUAUUUCGUUAGAUAUCUUCUCAAAUUUCAAUUUCAUCCUUGAAGAAUGAAAGUUUAUCUAAUCUUAUACUUCAAGGGAGGAUACUUAAAAAUUUCAGGGGGAAAGCGGCAGGAAGAAGUCAGGACAAGUGUUCAGAAAAAUUCUUUACGCAAUAAAAGGACUGAAGGCACCGCGUGCGUCCCAAGCACACGCGGUCGGAAUUGGCAGCCCACCGACUUUCCUAAACGAAACCGUCAGCAGAAGAUCACAGCCGUCCAAUCACAGCUGGCUUCGGAAUUUUUUUUAUUAUCGGACGGUCAAUCCGAAGUCGGUGUAUCCUUCCCUAAAAGUAACCGUUGUCCCCGUCCUCUCCAUUCCCUCUUCAUUACGCGUUUCUCUCUCGCCUCUCUGGCCAUGGCGUCUGGAGAUGUCGUCUUCCCGAUUGAGCGUUCUCCGUCGGCCCUUCUUCGCUUUUGUUUUCCGUUUCUUGAUCGAUUGAUUGUUGAUGGGGGCCGAUUGCUUUGUUUGUCCUUGAUUUUGUGAAGCAUCUUCUGGUUGCAGAGAUCCACUUCUAUGUUGCGGGAGAUUCUUGAGGGUUUCGCUUACCCUACGAUUUUUAUUGGCGUCUGGCGAUAUCAUCUUCUUCCGGAGAGAAGACGUGGUUGUAGCGAUGAUCCCGAUUGAACGUUUCUCCGUCGGCCUCUCUCCUUUUUGGUUUCCGUUUCUUGAUUGAUUGUUGAUGGGGGAUCGAUUGCUUUCUCGGUCUGAUUUUGCGAGGCGUCUUCUGGUUGCAGAGAUCCCCCCCUGUUGCGGAGAUUUUUGAGGGUUUGGCUCGGCCUACGAUCCCUUCGAUCCCUUCGAUUACUUCAUUCUGGAUUCUUGUUGUUCGGUGAAUUGGCAGUGUGGCUUCUUUCUUUCAUAUGAGGAUGCUGUCGCAGCAAGUGUUUGGUUUAGUGCUCCUUUUCUGACCGGUUGAUCUUUCUGUCACGAGCUGUUUCUGGAUUCUGUUAUUUGGUGAAUCCGCAGUGGCUUCUUUCCCCUUAGAGCGAAACUGCUCUUUCUCCUUUUUGGUUUCCGUUUCUUGAUUCAUUGUUAUCUCGGUCUUGAUUUUGUGAGGCGUUAUCUGGUUGCAGAGACCCACCCCUGUUGCGGAGAUUCUUGAGGGUUUCGCGCUUGGCCUACGAUGCCUAUUGGUUAUCGGAAUUAUUCAGUUUACCUCUUGUCCUUUGGUUGCUUAGUGAUUCAUCGACCGAUCGAUUGAACUUUGCGCUGUUGUUUUGACCAGAUCAUUCUGGAUUCUUGUUGUUCGGUGAAUUGGGAGUGUGGCUUCUUUCCUCUUGGAUCAUAUUUCCUGACGUCAGAGGAUGUCCUCAUGGGAAGUGCUUGGUUUAACUCCUCCUUUGAUCCUUUAUUGAAACAAUAACCUAUCGAUCUUUCUGUUAUUUGGUGAAUUUGNNNNNNNNNNNNNNNNNNNNNNNNNNNNNNNNNNNNNNNNNNNNNNNNNNNNNNNNNNNNNNNNNNNNNNNNNNNNNNNNNNNNNNNNNNNNNNNNNNNNCACGGGUGUUUCGUUUUUUUGGAGCAUUGAUGAUCAUUUGCUUUCAUCUUUUUGGCUGAGAUGAUGAAAGUAGUCUUUCAUGCGAUAGGCUGAAAUUUGGUGGUCUUGAUUGGAAUUUGUUCUUCGGUUUUCUAUUUUUGGGGGUUGAUUAUCGUCUAGUCCUGAUCCUCUCGCAGGUCGGAGUUUUGCAAGACUCGACAAGUGGUGAUCUGGUGCGAGCUGACGAUUGUCUGAAAUUGGAUAAGCUCUGUCUCUCUAGGCAGUAUUGGUUUGAAUGAAAUUUGUUCUCCACUCCCAUAAUUUUCCGAUUAAUGCGAAACCCGAUUCUCAUUCCUUCGGAGGUCUGUUUUGUCGAUGUAUGAUCUGUCAUGGUUCUUUCUUUGCAAGGUGUAAGCACCACAACAGAUCACUAUCCAAUCCAGAUCCGCUUGCUAAUGUCUCCUUCCUAGAAAUGAUCCCUACCUUCUGUUCUCAUCCUUCAAUCUCAUCGGGAGACGUCGUUAUGGGAAGUGUUUGGUUUAGCUCCUCCUCUGAUCCUUUAUCAAACCCACUUUCGGUACAAUUGUUUCACAAGCUGCUUCUGGAUUUUUGUUAUUUGGUGAAUCUGCAGUGGCUUCUUUUCUUCAUGGAGCAAAAGGGUUUGUCUGAGGAUGUCAAGGAUGACGACACCGGUCAGCUUGUUUCAUAAAAAACGGAUAUUUGGGCUUUUUGGAGGAUUGAUAAUCCUUUUGCUGCUGUCUUUUUUCUUGGUUGAGAUGAUGAACUAGUAGUCUUUUAGGCUGAAAUUUGCUGGUCUUCAUUGGAAUUUUGUUCUUCGUUUUUUUUUUUUUUUUUAUAAUCUUUGGGGGGUUGAUUAUUGUGUAGUCCUGAUCCUCUCACAGGUCGGAAUUUUGCUAGACUCGACUAAGUGGUGAUCUGGUGCGAGCUGAUGAUUGUCUGAAAUUGGAUAAGCCCUAUCGUCUCUCAAGGAAGUUAUCGGUUUGAAUGAAAUUUGUUCUCCAGUCCCAUAAUUUUGCGAUUAAUGCGAAACCCGAUUCUCAUUCCUUUGGAGGUCUGUGUUUUAUUGAUGUAUGACCUGCGAUGGUUCUUUGCAAGGUGUAUGCGUCACAACAGAUUACUAUCCAAUACAUAUCCACUUGCUGGUGUAUCCUUCCCAGAAAUAGUCCCUUCCUCAUGUUCUCAUCGUGCAUCUAUGAUUGUGCAUGCAUUCCUCAAUCGGCUGACACUCUUAUUCUUCAGAGGAGACAUCGUUCCUGAAAACGUACUCCUGGCCUGUCAUCUUUUCUUUUUAUUUCUUGAUUGAUUUUAAAAUCGGUUUGAUUCUGUUUACGCUAUGUUAUUUUCUGAAGGAACGCCUGGCCUCUCUUGGACUCUGCCAUGCUGUGGGCAUUGUUAGGGUUAUUGCUCGUCUGACCGUUGGUUGAUUUAUCAUUGAUUGAUUUGUCCAUUGUAUCAUGAGCUGAUUCUGGCAUUAACUAUUCCUUGAAUUGGCAGUGUUUUCUUUCUUCUCGGAGCGAUCAUUUUCUCUGAGGAUGAUGUCUGAGAGGACAAUGAAUAUGAUGCAGCUGGUCAGUUGGUUACAUAGAAUAUGACAUUUGGGCUUUUUGGUGGACUAAUGAUCUAUCUUGCACUGUUUGUGGUUGAGUUGAUCAUCUAAAGAAGCCUUUUGUCUUCAGGACAAACGAUGGACUGAAAUUUUGACAACCUUCUAGGCUUCUUUUUCAAAUUGAAAGUUUUACUGGUUUUGACAGCUGGUGAUCUGUUGCGUUUUCUGUGGGGCUGAGUUGAUAAUUGUUCGAAAUUGUUAUUGCUCCUGCUUCCCAGAUUUUGGGCAGUUAUUGGUUUGAAUGGAACUUGUCCUUUAUUCUGUUAUUUCUUUGUUAAUCCGAAAGAUUAGAUCUAGUUCUCUUCCCUUUGCAGAUCAGAUUUUGGUCGAGGCAAUACUUUACGUGGCCAAGUUCGAUAUGGAGUGUCUAUGAUCUAUGAUGUUCUUUCUUGCUGCAUAAACAUCAAUUUCUAAUUUGUCUUCCACUUAUGUUAUCGUCUAGUUAAGGUGGUUAUCAUCUAGUUGAGGUGGAACGAUCAGUUAUUCUCUUUUCUUCGCAGGUCAUAGUUUGGUCAAGGCAAUACCUUACCUCGUCAAUUUCGAGAUGGAGUGUCUGUGGUCCAUGAUGGUUCUUUCUUGCUGCAUAAGAAUUAAUUCAUAGGACAAGCUCUCCUUUCAGAGUUCUUUCUUGUCUGAACUACACAAUUGGUUUCACUUCACGGCAAAGUGGUAGCAUCUUAUUUUGAAAUGACGUACUUCAGAUAUCUAUCGCAAUUUGCAUUCUUAGUCUUUCUUAUAUUGUUUCUAUUUCGUAAUGGAAGAUAAUGGAAGAUGAUGGAUGAUACCAGUUGUUCUUUGGCAGAUUAGAGACUAUUUUAUCUUUGGGAUUGGAUUGGAAACUUUUGAUUAGUAUGUCUUACCUUUUUCUUUGAUGGAAACUAUCCUGCAUUUUAUUUGUCAUGGACUUUUUCCUUUCAACGUACUUUGUUACACAUUCAUUUCGAAAUAUGCAUUUGUUUUGACUUGGUGUGUAUGUCUGCUUGAAUUUUGUGUCAAUAAAAUGUUAAAUUUGGUUUAUUUGAAGAAUUUUUUGUCAGGUUCCUCUUGUGUUUAUAUUUUAUGAGAUUGAUGCUGUCUGCAUGGUAAUUUCCUACGCUGAGAUGUUAUUUUUGUGUGACAUAUUGCCUCUUUUUUCCCUAUGUUAUUUGGAGCUUGCAGGUUAGGUUCUUUCCCAAAAAAUAUUUAGUUUUUACAUUGUUUUAUGUGGUAGCAUUUGCCUUUUGCCAAAAUUUUACCAAAAGUAUAGCAUGGAAUGUUUUCACUUANNNNNNNNNNNNNNNNNNNNNNNNNNNNNNNNNNNNNNNNNNNNNNNNNNNNNNNNNNNNNNNNNNNNNNNNNNNNNNNNNNNNNNNNNNNNNNNNNNNNUCAAAAUGAUUAUGGAUUUUGGUGGAUUGGCAGUUGCAUCUUUCCUCUUGUAGCGAUCUCUCAUCCGAGCAUGUCGUCUAAGAAUGACACAUACAUAGAAGCUGGUGAGUUAACAUAGAAGAAGGUGAUUGGGCUUCUUGGAGGAGAGGUGAUCUAUUAUGCAGUCUUUGUUUUCUUGAGUUCUGAAGUAGCCUUCUCUGAUUGCAUUUUCAGGAUGAGCGAACUUUGAGGAUUUAUAGGCAUCUUGUAGUUUUGAUUUAAGUUUGUCGUAAGUUGAUUAUCUUCGGGGAGCAGUGAGAUAAUUAUUAUCAAGUUCUAAUUCCUCUACUGGAAGCUUUGCCAGGUUUGAGAAGUGGUGAUCUAUUGCCUUCUUCUGUAGGGUGAGUUGAUGAUUGUUUGAAAUUGGAUAAACAGUCAUUUUGUAGAUUCUAAGGACUGGUAUGUAUGAUGAGGUUGGUCAAUUAUUACUUAGAAUGACUGAGCUUUUCUUGAGUUUGACGAUCUAUUCACAUCUAUCUUCGGUUGGGUUGGUGUAUGGGCAGUGUCCUUGAUCAUCUUGAGGACCAGUUGAAGAGCUGAAAUUUUGAUAAACUCCUGCUGCGUAGGCACUUUGUUGAAUGUCAUUCCUCAGUUGAUUCCCUUGGAGUGGAAAGAUGACAAUUCAGCUUUUUCUGUAUGGCUAAGUUGAUGAAUUGCGGAGUCUGCGCUUUGUUUGAAAUUGGAUAAGCUCCCCCUUCUUGGAUUUGGUUCCUUUGAUGUCUUCACUCUAUAUGUGUACAUGGAUGAAUCCUUAAUCAAUUAAUAUUUUGGCCAUGCUAUGAUAGGGUGUGCGAGAACAAGCUCGACUUAUGCUUUGAGGGUUUGAAGUUUUACAAAAGAUCGUGGAUUGUCAUUGGAUGGCCUCUCUGUUGGACAUAGAUGCAAAAGGAGAGCACUAAGUUUGCUUAGUUGCAAUAAGAUAUCUGUAUGGAUUUUUGCUUAGCCGAUAUUCUCCACUUCUAUAAUACUUUCUUCUGGCACUGUCAUUGCUGGGGACAGUUUACAAGUGAGGGUUUUUGUAUGUGAGAUGGGCUGUUUUUAGUUUGUAGGGUGCCACCUUGGGGGCCUAAAUUGUGAAUAUUUUAGGUUCUCAUCGAUCCAUGGGACAAUGAAGGCUUUUCUGCAAGGGCUCAAGUGAUGCUCCAUUGCAAACUGUUAGCAUCUCAUUCUGAAAAGAUGAAUUGUGCUGUGCUUUUGCCUGUUUGCAUGAUUGGCAUAUGUGAUCAGGCCUCACAUGGGGAUGUUGACCGGACAGGCAUAUGGACAUAACUUCCUUGGCAUUGCUUGCGCUCAGACUGGUUCUCUCCUUUCUGCUGAUUCUCUCAUUUCUUAUUCAUCACAAAGCUGUGUCGUUUCAUGUAUGCUGUCAGCAGACAUGGCUGGUCAAGCUGGGAGGAGCAGACACUUGGUGCUUGGUUGCCAUGUUUGUCAAAUUUUUGUAGUUAUUUUUAAAUCGGUGAAACUGAAGGGGCAGACACAAUCCUGCAGUGAAUAAGCUUUGGUUUGAGUUUAACAUGUCUAGCGAGCAUGGACCCCUUCUGAUCUCUAUGAUACCCUAUGUACGAUGGAUGAACUUCUGCUUCNNNNNNNNNNNNNNNNNNNNNNNNNNNNNNNNNNNNNNNNNNNNNNNNNNNNNNNNNNNNNNNNNNNNNNNNNNNNNNNNNNNNNNNNNNNNNNNNNNNNNNNNNNNNNACUGUAUCUCUUGCUCUACAAGGGUUGUUCAAAGUCAUCUUGCUUGUAAUUGGAGAUACUUGACGGUUGCCUCAUGAUCAGGUUUAUUUGCUUUGGUAUUUUCUUUGAAGGGAUGAAUUUUGAAGCAUCUGGUUGGGUCUAUGUCCAGAACAAUGUCGGCGAAGGCUCUGAUUUUGGAUAGAAAGCUUAUCAAAGUUAUUAAGGUUCAAAGUCUCCCUCUGAGCAUACUAAUUUUGUGGCUUCCAUGCUGUAUGGACUUAUUCAGUUUUCCACGGGUGCUUGUUCCAGUUUAGAGCAAUCCAACUAAGGACUGUGUAAUCAAAACUGUUAGAGAAUCCAAGUUCUUGAGUUGGGAAGGCAGGAGGUUAUUAUUUAAUGCAAUUAUGUUCAGUUGAGAUACUGAAUUGUUGUUUUCCUUUUUAGAUCGGAGUGAUGAUCGGGUUCUGGAUCUUUCUACAGGGAUUGUCUGAUUCUUUUCAAGGAUUAGAGGAGAUGCGAUGAACAUAGAGUUGGAGUCCUUUUGUUGCAGAUCAUUCUGAAUUCGACCUGGUUUGUGUUGUAGUGUAUUUGACUUAGCAAGCUUUUGCUUUUUGCUUCUCCUGGGGUACUUUUCAUAUAAGUAGUUUAUUUUGGGUUCCAGUUCAAGUAUCUCUCUUUGAUGAUGACGUGCUCUCUAUCUUCGUCUACAAACCUCACUGGAUAAAUUUACAAUUACUACAGUUUAGUCUUGUGUCCAAGGCUAAGUCUCGUUGUUGCUUAGGUUGGUCAUAUGUGGCUACUUUUUGCUGCUUCUGGGGGUAUUUUUGGUAUAAUUGGUUAAUUUUGGGUGCCAGUUCAAGUCUCUCUCUUUGAUAAUGUCGUCCUCUCAUCUUUUUCUGUGAACUUCACUGGAUGAAACUCCUAUUGUGUCCUGUUUCAAGGCUAACUCUAGUGGUUGCUUUGCUGGUGGCACACAUGGAUGGCAGUUUGGCUUGUCAGAUGCUUCUAGAUUAUGCUCGAGAGAUGAGAAACUGAUUGCAGAUAUUGACCAACAUCAUGGCAGAUUAUUCGUUUCUACUUUCAAUUGGUUUGUUGCAGUCCGUAGAAGCUCUCUUGGGGAUUCUCUUUAUAUUGAAGUUCCAGUUGAUAUUACUCGCCUGACAAAUUAGUUUUAUAUUGCUUAUGUGUUGGAAUCCAAAGUUACUUGGCCACGAGCUCGCACAAUCCCUCUACAUGGAUUCACCCCUCAUUCUCCUCACUCAAUUAAGAACGAGUCGAUUUACUUGGCCUUUUCUUUCUUUGCCAUCAAGUCAUUCGUGUGGUUGAAUUAUCCAAAAAAUGUUGCUCCCACUAAAGGCUAAGUAGUAGAAUAAAUCCCAACCUUCUAAUGAGUGCAUAAUUUCAUCCUGAUAUUUAAUCUUAUCAUAAAAAGAUCCAACUGUUUAAAUUUGUUUCAAAUUUAUUUGCCAAAGUCCUUUAAUGCCUGCAGUGGCGUCUGGCGAUAUCGUUCGUCUUCUCGAUUGAGAGCUUUCUCCGUAGGCCCGUCUCCCUUUUCUAAUUCCGUUUCUCGAUCGAUUGAUUGUUGAUGCUCGAGGAUUUCGCUUGGCCUACGAUCUCUGUCGGCGUCAGGCGAUAUCGUUGUCUUCCAGAGAGGAGGAGAAGUAGCGAUCCCGAUUUGACUGUUGAUGCGGAGAUUUUUCAGGGUUCGGCUCGGUCUACCUUGCCUAUUGGUUUACGCCUCGUCCCUUUUGAUGGCUUAGCGAUUCAUUGACCGAUCGAUUGAUCUUUGCAUUAUGCGUCGUUGUUCUGACCAGCUCAUUAUGGAAUCGUGUUGUUCGGUGGAUGGGCAGUGCGCGGCUUCUUUCCUUCCUCUUGGAUCAUAUCUCUUGAGGAUGCCGUGAUGCCGUAAUGGGAGUGUUUGGUUUAGCUCCUCCUUUGACCCUUUAUUAAUACAAUGCCCGAUCGAUCUUUCUGUACAAUUGUUUCACGAGCUGCUUCUGGAUUUUGUUAUUUGGUGAAUCCGCCGUAGAUCCUUUCCCCUUGGAGCGAAAUUGUUUGUUUGAGGAUGUCAAGGACGAUGAACAGCUUGUUUUAUAAAACACGGGGUUGGAGUUUUGCUAGGCUGAAAUUUGUUGGAUUCUCUAGACCGAUGAUCCUUUUGCUGCUUCUUUUUUCUUGGUUGAGAUGAUGAAAGUAGUCUUUCAGGCAAUAGGCUGAAAUUUGCUGGUCUAGUCCCCGACAGGUUGGAGUUUUGCUAGACUGGACAAGUGGUGAUUUGCCGCGUGCUGAUGAUUGUCUGAAAUUGGAUAAGCUCUAUCAUCUCUCGUCGGUUUGAAUGGAAAUUUGUUCUCCAAUCCCAUAAUUUUCCAAUUAAUGCAAAACUCAAUUCUCAUUCCUCCGGAGGUCAGCAUAGCAUUUGGUUGACAUAUGAUCUGUGAUGGUUCUUUCUUUGAAGGUGUACACGCCACAACAGAUCAUUAUCCAAUCUGGAUCCACUUGCUGGUGUCUCCUUCCUAGGAAUUGUCCCUCCCUCAUGUCCUCAUCCUUCAGUCUCAUCGGGAAACAUUGUUAUGGGAAGUGUUUGGUUUAGCGCCCCCUCUGAUCAUUUAAAGAAACCACUUUCUGUACAAUUUUUUAAUGAUCUGCUUAUAGAUUUUUGUAAUUAUGGUGAAUUCACAGUGGUUUCUUUCCCCCUCGGAGUGAACUAUUUUUCGAAGGAUGGCAAGAACAAAUAAAUACCAUGACAUCGGUCAGCUUGUUUCAUAAAACUAGAUGUUGGGCUUUUUGGAGAAUGAUGAUCCUUUUGCCGUCUCUUUUCGGUUGAGAUGAUGAACCAGUAAGUAGUCUUUAAGGCGAUAGGCUGAAAUUUUCUGUUCUUGAUUGGAACUUGUUCUUCGGUUUUUUUAAACUUUGGGGGUUGAUUAUCGUCUAGCCCGGAUCCUCUCACAGGUUGGAGUUUUGCUAGACUUGACAAGUGGUGAUCUGGUGCGAGCUGAUCAUUGUUUGAAAUUGGAUAAGCUCUAUCGUCUCUCAAGGCAAUUAUCGGUUUGAAUGGAAAUUUGUUCUUCAAUCCCCUAAUUUUCCAAUUAAUGCAAAACCUGAUUCUCGUUCCUCCGGAGGUCAGUGUUUGGUUGACGUAUGAUCUGUGAUGGUUCUUUCUUUGCAAGGUGUACGCACCACAACAGAUCAUUAUCCAAUAUGGAUCCGCUUGCCAGUGUCUCCUUCCUAGAAAUUGUCGCUCCCUCAUGUCCUCAUCCUUCAGGCUCAUCGGGAGACAUUGUUAAGGGAAGUGUUUGGUUUAGCUCCUCCUCUAAUUCUUUAAAGAACCCACUUUUCUGUAAAAUUGUUUUAUGAUCUGCUUCUAGAUUCUCGUAUUUGGUGAAUUUGCAGUGGUUUGUUUCCCCCUCAGAGUGAACUAUUUUUCUGACGAUGGCAAGAACGAAUGAAUACCAUGACAUCAGUCAGUUUGUUUCAUAAAACUAGAUGUUGGGCUUCUUGGAGGACUGAUGAUCCUUUUGCUGCCUCUUUCAGUUGAGAUGAUGAANNNNNNNNNNNNNNNNNNNNNNNNNNNNNNNNNNNNNNNNNNNNNNNNNNNNNNNNNNNNNNNNNNNNNNNNNNNNNNNNNNNNNNNNNNNNNNNNNNNNUUGCUGGUCUGUAUUGGGAAUUUUUAUUUUUAUUUUAUAACUUUGGGGGUUGAUUAUCAUCUAGCCCGGAUCCUCUCACAAGUCGGAGUUUUGCUAGUCUUGACAAGUGGUGAUCUGGUGCGAGCUGAUCAUUGUCUGAAAUUGGAUAAGCUCUAUCGUCUCUCGAGGCUGUUAUCGGUUUGAAUGGAAAUUUGUUCUCCAAUCCCCUAAUUUUCCAAUUAAUGCAAAACCCAAUUCUUGUUCCUCCGGAGGUCAGCAUUUGGUUGACGUAUAAUCUGUGAUGGUUCUUUCUUUGCAAGGUGUACGCGCCACAACAGAUCAUUAUCCAAUCUGGAUCCGCUUGCUGGUGUCUCCUUCCUAGAAAUUGUCCCUCCCUCAUGUCCUCAUCCUUCAGGCUCAUCGUGCAUCUAUGAUUGUGCAUGCAUUCCUCACUGAGCCAACACCCUUUCUGAACUACUCUUCAGAGGAGACAUUGUUCCUGAAAACGCAUUCCUGACCUUUCUUUUUUUCUUUAUAUUUCUUGAUUGAUUUUGAAAUCAGUCUGAUUUUUUUAACACUGUUAUUUUCCGAAGGUUACGCCUGGCCUUUCUGGGACUGGCAUGUUGUGGGCAUCGUUAGGGUCUGUGCUCCUCUGAUCGCUGAUCGAUUCAUCUUCGAUUGAUCUUUACAAGUUCAAUUGCAUUAUGAGCUCAUUCUGGUAUUCACUAUUCCCUGAAUUGGCAGUUUCUUCUUUCUUCUUGGAGUGAUCAUUUUCUCUGAGGAUGAUGUCCAAGUGGACAAUGAAUACGAUGCAACUGGUCAGUUGGUU
RNAcentral lists this long non-coding RNA (42136 nucleotides) under Eucalyptus grandis. RNAcentral describes it as "long non-coding RNA (EGRA_LNC001580)". Lineage: Eukaryota; Viridiplantae; Streptophyta; Magnoliopsida; Myrtales; Myrtaceae. The record is from RNAcentral.